UAGGGAAUCUUCGGCAAUGGGGGGAACCCUGACCGAGCAACGCCGCGUGAGUGAAGAAGGUUUUCGGAUCGUAAAGCUCUGUUGUUAAGGAAGAACGAGUGUGAGAAUGGAAAGUUCAUGCUGUGACGGUAGUUAACCAGAAAGGGACGGCUAACUACGUGCCAGCAGCCGCGGUAAUACGUAGGUCCCGAGCGUUGUCCGGAUUUAUUGGGCGUAAAGCGAGCGCAGGCGGUUAGAAAAGUCUGAAGUGAAAGGCAGUGGCUCAACCAUUGUAGGCUUUGGAAACUGUUUAACUUCAGUGCAGAAGGGGAGAGUGGAAUUCCAUGUGUAGCGGUGAAAUGCGUAGAUAUAUGGAGGAACACCGGUGGCGAAAGCGGCUCUCUGGUCUGUAACUGACGCUGAGGCUCGAAAGCGUGGGGAGCGAACAGG
This 429-nucleotide ribosomal RNA is filed under the name Bacteroidota bacterium. RNAcentral's name for it is "Bacteroidetes bacterium partial 16S ribosomal RNA". It matches the Rfam family "Bacterial small subunit ribosomal RNA", at positions 355 to 776 of the family's 1533-position model. The record is from RNAcentral. Lineage: Bacteria; Pseudomonadati; Bacteroidota.